GAUGAACGCUGGCGGCGUGCCUAAUACAUGCAAGUCGAGCGAACAGACGAGGAGCUUGCUCCUCUGACGUUAGCGGCGUACGGGUGAGUAACACGUGGAUAACCUACCUAUCAGACUGGGAUAACUUCGGGAAACCGGAGCUAAUACCGGAUAAUAUAUUGAACCGCAUGGUUCAAUAGUGAAAGACGGUUUUGCUGUCACUUAUAGAUGGAUCCGCGCCGCAUUAGCUAGUUGGUAAGGUAACGGCUUACCAAGGCAACGAUGCGUAGCCGACCUGAGAGGGAGAUCGGCCACACUGGAACGGAGACACGGACCAGACUCCUAAGGGAGGCAGCAGUAGAAAAUAUUCUGCAAUGGGCGAAAGCGUGACAGAGCAACGAAGAGUGAGUGAUGAAGGUGUUCGGAUCGUAAAACUCUGUUAUUAAAGAAGAACAAAUGUGUAAGUAACUAUGCAAGUCUUGACGGUACCUAAUCAGAAAGCCACGGCUAACUACGUG
This 497-nucleotide ribosomal RNA is filed under the name uncultured bacterium. Its description in RNAcentral is "partial 16S ribosomal RNA". It matches the Rfam family "Bacterial small subunit ribosomal RNA", at positions 28 to 507 of the family's 1533-position model. The record is from RNAcentral.